GGUCAAUUGUGUUUUGGAUAAAAGAAACGAAACGGGCGGAACAUUGGCGUUAUAAAAUAUUCUGUGUUCGGUGGUCGAAAAAAUGUGUCCAGAAUUGAAUUAAAUGUACACCCACAAUGCACAAUGGUUUUCAGUGGUUCAAUACUUGAAUAGUUAAUAUACCGAAAUGAAACGAACGGUAUUUACACUUUAUACGAUACAACACCCCACGUAAAUAUCGAAUUGUUACUCAUUUAAAACGUACGGGUUUCAUUGAAUCCGUUUGUAAUUAUCCCCGGACAUUUCAAUGCCGCAUUUUGUGAACAUUUCCGCCUAAUAGUAUUUUUUUUUUUUCUUAAAAUUACACGCGCGUGUCUUUUGCGCAGCAUUAAUCCAUUUCCUUUUACAGUUUUAAAACUUUCCAUCGUAACAAAAUUAUAUGCGCGUGAUAACAAGCUGAACGUUUGCAGUUCAACCAGAUCGCAUGAAACCAAAACAAUAUCUUUAAUCGUCGUCAUUGACAUUGUCGUGGGGAUAAAUACAGGACAAGUUUGAGAAUCCCAGAUUUUUAACGACCGUACGCCAAUAUUCCGCAUUCCAAAUGACCGUACCAAUUUCCCGACGAUCAGUGGCGAAUUUAAAGGCGGUCGGACCUCUUUGACUUUUUUUUUUAAAUAUUUUUAAUUUUAUGUCAUAAGAAUACGUUUAAUCUAUAAAAUACCAUACGCCACCGGCGUUUAACGUUUUAAUUCUCCCCGACGAUCUGGCACAGCCGUCGGUUGUUAUCGUUGUAUCAUUACGGGUUGUCGUCAAUCGACGUUCCGUAACUUAAACAAUAAUCAACACUGAAUAAAAAAAAAAAACAAACAAAAAUGGUCAAAGAAAAUUUUUACAGAGUCGACGAAAACGUAUUUAUUUUUCUUUCUAUUUUUACCUAAUGGGUUGUUUUUUUUUUUCUUCUCUUUCGCCUUUAUACCGUAGGGUAGGUACUUGUACAAUAUAGGUAUUGAAAUAAAUAAACCGUGCGGGGGCUCGUGUUCCGUAUAAAAGGUCGCGUAUCCGGCAGGGGGUCGGGAAAGGUAUACACGGAUGAUGACAUCGACACCGGAUGAAUAUAAUAAGGGGAAAGAAAAAAAA
This is a non-coding RNA of Cinara cedri, 1116 nucleotides long. NCBI's taxonomy places the organism in Eukaryota, Metazoa, Arthropoda, Insecta, Hemiptera, Aphididae. The record is from the annotation of a GenBank genome assembly.